GGUUGAUCCUGCCAGUAGUCAUAUGCUUGUCUAAAAGACUAAGCCAUGCAUGUCUAAGUAUAAGCAAUUAUACUUGCGAAACUGCGAAUGGCUCAUUAAAUCAGUUAUAGUUUAUUUGAUAAUAUCUUCCUACAUGGAUAACUGUGGUAAUUCUAGAGCUAAUACAUGCACUAAGCCCCGACUUUUUGGAAGGGGUGUGUUUAUCAGAUCUUAAGCCAACCCGCUUCGGCGGUGUGUGGUGAGUCAUAAUAACCUGACGAAUCGCAUGGCUUCGUGCUGGCGAUACAUCAUACAAGUUUCUGACCUAUCAUACUUUCGAUGGUAGUAUAUAGGACUACCAUGGUUGUGACGGGUAACGGAGAAUUAGGGUUCGAUUCCGGAGAGGGAGCCUGAGAAACGGCUACCACAUCCAAGGAAGGCAGCAGGCGCGCAAAUUACCCAAUCUCGACACGAGGAGGUAGUGACAAGAAAUAACAGUGCGGGACUUUUGUCUCCGUAAUUGGAAUGAGUACAAUUUACAACCCUUAACGAGGAUCAAUUGGAGGGCAAGUCUGGUGCCAGCAGCCGCGGUAAUUCCAGCUCCAAUAGCGUAUAUUAAUGUUGCUGCGGUUAAAAAGCUCGUAGUUGGAUUUCGGGGUGAGAGUCGAGGGUUUCCUUCGGGAAGCGCCACGAAUCUUGUCCUUUGUCCAAGGGACGGCAUGUUCUUAAUUGGGCGUGUGCAGUAACUUGGGCCGGUUACUUUGAGAAAAUUAGAGUGUUCAAAGCAGGCCAAUGCCUUGAAUACGUUAGCAUGGAAUAACGAAAUAGGACUUUGGUUCUAUUUUGUUGGUUUGAGGACCGAAGUAAUGAUUAAUAGGGAUAGUUGGGGGCAUUAAUAUUUGAUUGUCAGAGGUGAAAUUCUUGGAUUUAUCAAAGAUUAACUACUGCGAAAGCAUUUGCCAAGGAUGUUUUCAUUAAUCAAGAACGAAAGUUAGGGGAUCGAAGACGAUCAGAUACCGUCGUAGUCUUAACCAUAAACUAUACCAGCUAGGGGUCGGUGGAGUGUUUUACAUCUCUAUCGGUACCUUCCGAGAAAUCAAAGCUUUUGGGUUCCGGGGGGAGUAUGGUCGCAAGGCUGAAACUUAAAGGAAUUGACGGAAGGGCACCACCAGGAGUGGAGCCUGCGGCUUAAUUUGACCCAACACGGGAAAACUUACCAGGUCCAGACAUAGUAAGGAUUGACAGAUUGAGAGCUCUUUCUUGAUUCUAUGGGUGGUGGUGCAUGGCCGUCCUUAGUUGGUGGAGUGAUUUGUCUGCUUAAUUGCGAUAACGAACGAGACCUUAACCUGCUAAAUAGAUGCAGUAAUCUUCGGAUUGUUGUACGCUUCUUAGAGGGACAAUACAAGACAAUUGUAUGGAAGUUUGAGGCAAUAACAGGUCUGUGAUGCCCUUAGAUGUUCUGGGCCGCACGCGCGCUACACUGACGGAAUCAACGAGUUUUCCUUGACCGAGAGGUUCGGGUAAUCUUCUGAAAUUCCGUCGUGCUGGGGAUAGACUCUUGUAAUUUUUAGUCUUGAACGAGGAAUUCCUAGUAAGCGCGAGUCAACAGCUCGCGUUGAUUACGUCCCUGCCCUUUGUACACACCGCCCGUCGCUCCUACCGAUUGGAUGAUCCGGUGAAAUUUUCGGACUGUCGCGUGUUGGUGGCAACACCUCACGUGAUAGGAAGUUACUUAAACCUUAUUAUCUAGAGGAAGGAAAAGUCGUAACAAGGUU
RNAcentral lists this ribosomal RNA (1754 nucleotides) under metagenome. RNAcentral's name for it is "SSU rRNA". It matches the Rfam family "Eukaryotic small subunit ribosomal RNA". The record is from RNAcentral.